Small nuclear RNA from Canis lupus familiaris (dog), 108 nucleotides. Lineage: Eukaryota; Metazoa; Chordata; Mammalia; Carnivora; Canidae. The record is from RefSeq and is a predicted model, not a curated record.
GUGCUCACUUUGGCAGUACAUAGACUAAAAUUAGAAUGAUACAGAGAAGAUUAGCACAGGCCCCUGCUCAAGGAUGGCAUGUAAAUUUGUGAAGCGUUCCAUAUUUAG